Molecule: ribosomal RNA, 348 nt
Filed under: uncultured bacterium
Lineage: Bacteria
Description: bacterial SSU rRNA
Rfam family: Bacterial small subunit ribosomal RNA
Source: RNAcentral
AGUAAUACUCCAUAGCAUAACGAAGUCGCAUGGCUUUGUUAUUAAAGCGCCGGCGGUUGAAGAUGAAUGUGCGUCUGAUUAGCUUGUUGGUGAGGUAACGGCUCACCAAGGCGAUGAUCAGUAAGGGGCGUGAGAGCGUGGCCCCUCACAUGGACACUGAGACACGGGUCCAACUCCUACGGGAGGCAGCAGUAAGGAAUAUUGGUCAAUGGGCGCAAGCCUGAACCCAGCCAUGCCGCGUGGAGGAUGAAGGCGCUCUGCGUUGUAAACUUCUUUGGUCGGAGACGAAACCCGUCCCUGCGGGGGCGGCUGACGGUAUCCGAAGAACAAGCACCGGCUAACUCCGUG